ACUCGCUUGGUGAAAAUGGUAAACACGACAGCCUCAAAAUCUGUUCCUCUGGGUUAUCGGUUCGAAUCCGAUAGCGAGUA
RNAcentral lists this transfer RNA (80 nucleotides) under Anthoceros punctatus. RNAcentral's name for it is "tRNA-Leu". It matches the Rfam family "tRNA". Rfam says of the family: Transfer RNA (tRNA) molecules are approximately 80 nucleotides in length. Their secondary structure includes four short double-helical elements and three loops (D, anti-codon, and T loops). Lineage: Eukaryota; Viridiplantae; Streptophyta; Anthocerotopsida; Anthocerotales; Anthocerotaceae. RNAcentral also lists the same sequence under 2 other names. The record is from RNAcentral.